This 370-nucleotide ribosomal RNA is filed under the name Askenasia sp. RNAcentral's name for it is "partial small subunit ribosomal RNA". It matches the Rfam family "Eukaryotic small subunit ribosomal RNA", at positions 587 to 975 of the family's 1831-position model. RNAcentral also lists the same sequence under 1 other name. Lineage: Eukaryota; Ciliophora; Litostomatea; Cyclotrichida; Mesodiniidae. The record is from RNAcentral.
AGCUCCAAUAGCGUAUAUUAAAGUUGUUGCAGUUAAAAAGCUCGUAGUUGAACUUCUGGCUGUGGCGGCAGCAGGCUUCGGUCGCUGUCGUUGCGGUCAUCCGCUUGGGAACUACGUUCGGACUUCAUUGUUUGGCGUAAGGAACAGGCAUUUUACUUUGAAAAAAUUAGAGUGUUCAAGGCAGGCUAUCGCCCUGAAUACACAAGCAUGGAAUAAUGAAAUAGGACUAUUUCCAUUUUAUUGGUUAUUGGAAUUAGUAAUGAUUAAUAGGGACAGUUGGGGGCAUUAGUAUUUCGUUGUCAGAGGUGAAAUUCUUGGAUUUACGAAAGACUAACUUAUGCGAAAGCAUUUGCCAAGGAUGUUUUCAUUA